This 71-nucleotide transfer RNA is filed under the name Marmota monax (woodchuck). RNAcentral describes it as "tRNA.Ala". Lineage: Eukaryota; Metazoa; Chordata; Mammalia; Rodentia; Sciuridae. The record is from RNAcentral.
GGGGUUGUGGCUCAGCGAUAGAGUGCCCACCUCGCACUUGUGAGACCCUGGGUUUGAACCUCAGCACCACA